NNNNNUGAGGGCAAUCUGGCUGCGACAUCUGUCAUUGAUGGAUUGCCAGUGUUGAUUUGGCUGAUCUAGCUGACUAGGUGGGUGUUCUCUUUUUGCCUCAAUGCUCCAUGUGAAUUUCUCCUAAAGCUAUGUCCUCAAUCAAAGAGGAAGACCACUUCUAGUAGAGGAGAACUAUUUCCUCAUUCGGGGACAAGAAUAGCUGCGCUCCCCUGCUAGAACCUCCAAAAGCUUGCAAGAAAGAAAGAGAGAGAGAGGAAAAGAGACAGAGG
This is an unclassified non-coding RNA of Cavia aperea (Brazilian guinea pig), 269 nucleotides long. Its record names the gene 7SK. It matches the Rfam family "7SK RNA". From Rfam's summary of the family: 7SK was discovered as an abundant small nuclear RNA in the mid-70s but a possible function has only recently been suggested. Two independent studies have found that 7SK RNA binds the CDK9/cyclin T complex (known as elongation factor P-TEFb). P-TEFb activates transcription by phosphorylating the C-terminal domain of RNA polymerase II. The record is from Ensembl. Lineage: Eukaryota; Metazoa; Chordata; Mammalia; Rodentia; Caviidae.